GACGAACGCUGGCGGCGUGCUUAACACAUGCAAGUCGAACGAGAAUCUGCUGAAGGAGGAUUCGUCCAACGGAAGCAGAGGAAAGUGGCGGACGGGUGAGUAACGCGUGAGGAACCUGCCUUGAAGAGGGGGACAACAGUUGGAAACGACUGCUAAUACCGCAUGACGCAUAGAGGUCGCAUGAUCUUUAUGCCAAAGAUUUAUCGCUUCAAGAUGGCCUCGCGUCUGAUUAGCUGGUUGGCGGGGUAACGGCCCACCAAGGCGACGACCAGUAGCCGGACUGGGAGGUUGAACGGCCACAUUGGGACUGAGAUACGGCCCAGACUCCUACGGGAGGCAGCAGUGGGGAAUAUUGGGCAAUGGGCGCAAGCCUGACCCAGCAACGCCGCGUGAAGGAAGAAGGCUUUCGGGUUGUAAACUUCUUUUAAGAGGGAAGAGCAGAAGACGGUACCUCUAGAAUAAGCCACGGCUAACUACGUGCCAGCCGCCGCCGUAA
Molecule: ribosomal RNA, 496 nt
Filed under: uncultured bacterium
Lineage: Bacteria
Description: partial 16S ribosomal RNA
Rfam family: Bacterial small subunit ribosomal RNA
Source: RNAcentral